Molecule: non-coding RNA, 158 nt
Filed under: Paenibacillus antarcticus
Lineage: Bacteria; Bacillati; Bacillota; Bacilli; Caryophanales; Paenibacillaceae
Description: Bacterial small subunit ribosomal RNA
Rfam family: Bacterial small subunit ribosomal RNA
Source: Rfam by way of RNAcentral
AAUUUGGAGAGUUUGAUCCUGGCUCAGGACGAACGCUGGCGGCAUGCCUAAUACAUGCAAGUCGAGCGGAGUUGUUUUGGAAGCUUGCUUCCAAAACAACUUAGCGGCGGACGGGUGAGUAACACGUAGGUAACCUGCCUAUAAGACGGGGCGAAGGG